Bubalus bubalis (water buffalo) is the source of this 427-nucleotide long non-coding RNA. RefSeq lists it as uncharacterized. The record is from RefSeq and is a predicted model, not a curated record. NCBI's taxonomy places the organism in Eukaryota, Metazoa, Chordata, Mammalia, Artiodactyla, Bovidae. The transcript is spliced from 2 exons.
UUCCAGGGCACAGUGCAGACAGCAGAAUGAAACAGUCCUCCAGUUUCAGUCUGUGAAGAGAGGCCUAUUUGCUUCUCCUGAAGCUUUGGCCUGAGGGACAGCUUCUGGUUUGGCAAACGUCUACGAGCUGGCUGAGGCCAUGCAGCUGCUCUCUGGAGGAUAGCCCCCUGUGCUGGUGACGCUCUGCACAGGCCAGAAGCGCCGAGGGGCAGCCUGCUGAUCCAUGACUAGGAAAGCCGAGUUCCCUUCCUGCCAGUCAUGAGACUCUGAGGGUCACUGACAUUCUGGAGCACCACACCAGGAUCAGUCUGCAGCUCAAACUCUUCUCCAUGGAACUCCGCCUGAAAGCACAACUUCCCCUUCUUAUUUUCCUCUCUAACGGGUUGGAGAGUGCUGGGACCACUCCUGAAUAAAGCCCUUUACAGGA